UGCUGCCAGCCCUGCUUUUGAGCCGGUGGGGGCAGACGGAUGAGGAAGGCAGGGCUGUUGUGUGGGCAGAAGCAGGCAGCGCGGGUGACUGAUCACCCACCAGGUUAGCCUGAGUGGGACGAGGAAGGGCUCAGGAAGGGAGAAGCAGCAGCCUCUGAGAGCAUCCAAUUGUUGCGUUGGUGGAAAGAAGAGUCCUGAAGGUGUCAUGCCUGCUCCUCAGCUGACUUUUAAGGAGCUUUAUGCAUGUUUAGUCCAAAAAUGGUUAAAAAAUGGCUUGCUUUCCACCAACUAUAUAUAUCAUGGCCCCAAAAAUACAGUUUUCAUAGUGAAAUUGAGCCUCUGGCUGCACAUCCAGAACGUGACCUUGGGUAGCCCAUGCCCACCAGCAAUGGGGAGAGCAAUCCUGCAACAGCACUGUGUACAGGAAUGGUAUUUCCCUGGGGCUUGUCUCUCUCAGAAAAAAGAAAAAAAAGAAGCAGUGGUGCAGAUAAGAAAUGACCAUUUACUUUUCUCAAAUGAUUCUUUCACAGGGUCUGGAUGGCUUGUGAGCACCCCAUGCCCAUGAACGGCGGGACGGAGCAGCCAGCAGGAGCCAAGCGUGGAGCUGCCCGACCAGCUUCUCUGUCUGGCGAGGGGAAUAACCUUAUACCGUAAAAAUGAUUUACAGAAAUCUCAAGGCUGCCAAUACAGUCUUGCUCCAACUCUUGCAUUAGAGAGGGGAAAAUACUUGGUUUUAUAUUUAAAAUGAGGAAUAAUCUGUUCUCUGAAUUAGGACAGCUGAGGACUUUAUGUGCCCAGUGUAGCACAGCAUCAGGAAUUAUGAUGCUUAAAUUCACAUUCUGGUGUCCAGGGUCAAACCCCUCACUAAUGCCUUAAGACAUGGGGCAUAAAUAGACCAUGUCUUACUCUGCAGGCACACACAUUUAACUUCUGGGUUCCUUUUCAAGAUCGCCUCUCCAUUUACAGAAUUUUUUUACUGUCUGUUUACAAGAGAUUUCAAAUGGUUCUUUAAGAAAUACAGUUUCAUUGCAUCAUAGGAGUAUUUUUGAUACUUAAUAUGAACAUUGGAUUACUAAAUAUAUAUUAUGUUGAACCUUUCUCUGACCUCAUUCUGUUAAUCUUGAUAUCCAGGUAACCUUGGUAAGGAAACAGGCACUGUCACAGAUGGUUUGGAAAAUGAACCCUAAUGUCGAUGUAGUGCAGCGUAGGAACAGAUGAAUACGUUAAAACAGACUGACACAUGGGCUGGAAAUGGAGGAAAUGCUCCAGGCCGUGCUCUGGGCUCAGUUUGUACAACUCAAGAGUCAUUAUAUACUUGCUGUCUCCCCGCCACGGUUACUUGAAGGAGGACUGUGCUCAGGCAGUGGCUGCAGUGCAGAUUUGUCUCCCAAAAGACAUAAUUUCUAAUGAUGAACUAGGACUGAGCCUUUUUUUGCAGGGAGUUUAUACAUUUCCAGGCCGGCCUUGCUGGACACCAGUCUGUUUCUGUCCAAGCUGUUUCCACGUUGAAAGCACAGCGUUUGGCCAUGCAAAUAUGGCACUAAAUAACACUCCUACUGUGAUUUGAAUUUUAUGUACUGUAAGCAUUGCUAUUCAGGUGAUGAGUCCAAGGAGAUAAAAAGAUAAUGUCACGCAUUUCAAAUGGCAAUAUUUUGUGGAUUUCCUGUUUAUAUUUCAAAUAUUAGGAGGCUACCAAGGUGGUCAUUUCAUUUAUAGAUGGUUUGGCUGAUGCUGGCAUCCAGUAUUUGUCCACCUCUGCUGUUUUUGCAGUAGCUGUUUCCUGUAUUUGACAGUCUCCCUGUGUUUUAUCCACAUGCUGGGCCAAGCACUUUCUCCAGCUCUUAUCCAAGAGGUGGUUAUAGGAGAACUGAGCCAUAUGUGACUGAGAGUUUAAAUACUGGCACAUGGACAGCCAACAUGCUCUUAAACACAAAUGGCUAACUUGCAGCGGUGGUGAGGACCAGGAGAUGAAUGUCACCUUGCAAUAUCUCACCUUGCGUUUUAUCCAUGUCUUGAAGGCCCACACAUAGCCUGAGGUCCCAGGACAAGAGCUGGCUCCAGCAGCACCUGACUUCCAGGGACCCUCACUCCUGCCUGGAUCGAGCCCUUGAGCACUUCGGCUGUUGGAGCUGCGUGCGUGCACGGGCACAGCAGCCACUCGGCUUGCCACAGCAGGUUUCCCCAUGCAGUAAAUCGGUUAAUAACAGUAAAAUUUCAAAAGCCUUUUUUUUAACCACAGAGAAUAAAUAAAGCCAAAGGCUGAAUGUGAGGAUGGUUUUAUUCAGGCCAGGUUUGAAUGCAGCCUCUAAUUUAGCCAAUAUACUUUGAAUUGUAUAUAGAUUCAACAUUUACUUCUCAGAAGUUUAAGGUUCCUUAAAAGGUCAUAUUUCAUUUUGUAUUAGAACAGGCCAUGUUGGCUUUCUGCUCGUGGUUUUUUUGCACGUAUGAGCACUUAAGGUAAAAUGUUUUCUACUUCCAAAAGCAGCAAGUGUACAGACACUUAAUAAAAAAAUGUUUUCUUCAUGCCCA
Long non-coding RNA from Harpia harpyja (harpy eagle), 2529 nucleotides. RefSeq lists it as uncharacterized. NCBI's taxonomy places the organism in Eukaryota, Metazoa, Chordata, Aves, Accipitriformes, Accipitridae. The record is from RefSeq and is a predicted model, not a curated record. The transcript is spliced from 2 exons.